UACGUAGGGUGCAAGCGUUAAUCGGAAUUACUGGGCGUAAAGCGUGCGCAGGCGGCUUUGCAAGACAGAUGUGAAAUCCCCGGGCUUAACCUGGGAACUGCAUUUGUGACUGCAUGGCUAGAGUGCGGCAGAGGGGGAUGGAAUUCCGCGUGUAGCAGUGAAAUGCGUAGAUAUGCGGAGGAACACCGAUGGCGAAGGCAAUCCCCUGGGCCUGCACUGACGCUCAUGAACGAAAGCGUGGGGAGCAAACAGG
Molecule: ribosomal RNA, 253 nt
Filed under: uncultured bacterium
Lineage: Bacteria
Description: partial 16S ribosomal RNA
Rfam family: Bacterial small subunit ribosomal RNA
Source: RNAcentral